GAUGAACGCUAGCGACAGGCUUAACACAUGCAAGUCGAGGGGCAGCACAGGUAGCAAUACCGGGUGGCGACCGGCGCACGGGUGAGUAACGCGUAUGCAACUUACCUAUCAGAGGGGGAUAACCCGGCGAAAGUCGGACUAAUACCGCAUGAAGCAGGGGUCCCGCAUGGGGAUAUUUGCUAAAGAUUCAUCGCUGAUAGAUAGGCAUGCGUUCCAUUAGGCAGUUGGCGGGGUCACGGCCCACCAAACCGACGAUGGAUAGGGGUUCUGAGAGGAAGGUACCCCACAUUGGUACUACGACACGGACCAAACUCCUACGGGACGCAGCAGUGAGGAAUAUUGGUCAAUGGACGAGAGGCUGAACCAGCCAAGUCGAGUGAGGGAUGAAGGUUCUAUGGAUCGUAAUCCUCUUUUAUAAGGGAAUAAAGUGCGGGACGUGUCCCGUUUUGAAUGUACCUUAUGAAUAAGGACCGGCUAACUCCGUG
RNAcentral lists this ribosomal RNA (485 nucleotides) under uncultured bacterium. RNAcentral's name for it is "partial 16S ribosomal RNA". It matches the Rfam family "Bacterial small subunit ribosomal RNA", at positions 28 to 507 of the family's 1533-position model. The record is from RNAcentral.